AUUGAACGCUGGCGGCAGGCCUAACACAUGCAAGUCGAGCGGAUGAAGGGAGCUUGCUCCUGGAUUCAGCGGCGGACGGGUGAGUAAUGCCUAGGAAUCUGCCUGGUAGUGGGGGAUAACGUCCGGAAACGGGCGCUAAUACCGCAUACGUCCUGAGGGAGAAAGUGGGGGAUCUUCGGACCUCACGCUAUCAGAUGAGCCUAGGUCGGAUUAGCUAGUUGGUGGGGUAAAGGCCUACCAAGGCGACGAUCCGUAACUGGUCUGAGAGGAUGAUCAGUCACACUGGAACUGAGACGCGGUCCAGACUCCUACGGGAGGCAGCAGUGGGGAAUAUUGGACAAUGGGCGAAAGCCUGAUCCAGCCAUGCCGAGUGUGUGAAGAAGGUCUUCGGAUUGUAAAGCACUUUAAGUUGGGAGGAAGGGCAGUAAGUUAAUACCUUGCUGUUUUGACGUUACCAACAGAAUAAGCACCGGCUAACUUCGUG
This 484-nucleotide ribosomal RNA is filed under the name uncultured bacterium. Its description in RNAcentral is "partial 16S ribosomal RNA". It matches the Rfam family "Bacterial small subunit ribosomal RNA", at positions 30 to 507 of the family's 1533-position model. The record is from RNAcentral.